Molecule: unclassified non-coding RNA, 435 nt
Filed under: Hevea brasiliensis (rubber tree)
Lineage: Eukaryota; Viridiplantae; Streptophyta; Magnoliopsida; Malpighiales; Euphorbiaceae
Source: RNAcentral
AGGAGUUACUAUCGUUGCACCAGUGCCUCCUGUAAUGUGAAGAAGAGAGUAGAGAGAUCUUUCAGUGAUCCAAGCAUAGUUGUGACCACCUAUGAAGGCCAACAUACCCAUCCUAGCCCUGUUAUGCCCCGUCCAAGCUUUGCUGGAGCUGCGUCAGAGUCUGGUUUCUCCGCAACUACUUUUGCCAUGCCAAUGCAAAGAAGACUAUCGCUCUAUCAACAGCAGCAACAACCCCUUGUCAAUAGCUUCUCACCUCUGGGUUUCGGUUAUAACGGAACAACAAAUGCUAGUUUUCUACAUGAAAGGCGCUUUUGCACCAACCCAGCGGGGUCUACUUUGCUUGAGGAUCAUGGGCUUCUUGAAGACAUUGUCCCCUCCCAUAUGCUAAACGAGGAGUAGAUGAGAACACGAUUGCUACUUUGUAGUUCCAUUCAC